ACACAUGCAAGUCGAGGGGCAGCAUGUCGGUUGCUUGCAACCGACGAUGGCGACCGGCGCACGGGUGAGUAACGCGUAUCCAACCUACCCUUGUCCAUCGGAUAACCCGUCGAAAGGCGGCCUAACACGAUAUGCGGUUCACCGCAGGCAUCUAACGUGAACGAAAUGUGAAGGAGAAGGAUGGGGAUGCGUCUGAUUAGCUUGUUGGCGGGGUAACGGCCCACCAAGGCGACGAUCAGCAGGGGUUCUGAGAGGAAGGUCCCCCACAUUGGAACUGAGACACGGUCCAAACUCCUACGGGAGGCAGCAGUGAGGAAUAUUGGUCAAUGGACGAGAGUCUGAACCAGCCAAGUAGCGUGCAGGAAGGCGGCCCUAUGGGUUGUAAACUGCUUUUAUAGGGGGAUAAAGUGUGCCACGUGUGGCAUAUUGCAGGUACCCUAUGAAUAAGGACCGGCUAAUUCCGUGCCAGCAGCCGCGGUAAUACGGAAGGUCCGGGCGUUAUCCGGAUUUAUUGGGUUUAAAGGGAGCGUAGGCCGUCUUAUAAGCGUGUUGUGAAAUGUCGGGGCUCAACCUGGGCAUUGCAGCGCGAACUGUGAGACUUGAGUGCGCAGGAAGUAGGCGGAAUUCGUCGUGUAGCGGUGAAAUGCUUAGAUAUGACGAAGAACUCCGAUUGCGAAGGCAGCCUGCUGUAGCGCAACUGACGCUGAAGCUCGAAAGCGUGGGUAUCGAACAGGAUUAGAUACCCUGGUAGUCC
Molecule: ribosomal RNA, 754 nt
Filed under: uncultured bacterium
Lineage: Bacteria
Description: bacterial SSU rRNA
Rfam family: Bacterial small subunit ribosomal RNA
Source: RNAcentral